GAUUGCAAAUGUGGAAAUAUCGACUGUCUUACCGAUGAAAGACUUGGUAGCUGGGGAGAGCUUCAUCUUAAAUAAAAUAAUAUAAGACUAAAAGUAAAGUAGUUUUAAAAAAGUAAGAUAAAAUGCGGAAGAGCAACCAGUAUUGAU
Non-coding RNA from Caenorhabditis elegans, 147 nucleotides. Lineage: Eukaryota; Metazoa; Nematoda; Chromadorea; Rhabditida; Rhabditidae. The record is from Ensembl.